RNAcentral lists this transfer RNA (93 nucleotides) under Candidatus Rokuibacteriota bacterium. Its description in RNAcentral is "tRNA-Ser". It matches the Rfam family "tRNA". From Rfam's summary of the family: Transfer RNA (tRNA) molecules are approximately 80 nucleotides in length. Their secondary structure includes four short double-helical elements and three loops (D, anti-codon, and T loops). Lineage: Bacteria; Candidatus Rokuibacteriota. The record is from RNAcentral.
GGAGGGGUACCGAAGUGGUCGUAACGGGCUCGACUCGAAAUCGAGUUGGGGGUGCGAGCCCCCACGUGGGUUCGAAUCCCACCCCCUCCGCCA